Molecule: RNA transcript, 876 nt
Organism: Gorilla gorilla gorilla (western lowland gorilla)
Lineage: Eukaryota; Metazoa; Chordata; Mammalia; Primates; Hominidae
Gene: BTNL10P
Gene name: Butyrophilin-like protein 10
Exons: 4
Source: RefSeq, a predicted model, not a curated record
AUGGCAGUGACGUGCGAUCGAGAGGCCUUCCUGUCCAUCUGCUUUGUCACCUUGGUCUUCCCGCAGCUCCCACUGGCCAGCAUCUGGAAAGCUGACUUUGAUGUCGUUGGGCCUCAUGCCCCUAUUCUGGCUAUGGCUGGGGGACACGUGGAGUUACAGUGCCAGCUGUUCCCCAAUAUCAGUGCCGAGGACAUGGAGCUGAGGUGGUACAGGUGCCAGCCCUCCCUAGCUGUGCACAUGCACGAGAGAGGGAUGGACAUGGAUGGAGAGCAAAAGUGGCAGUACAGAGGAAGGACCACCUUCAUGAGUGACCACGUGGCCACGGGCAAGGCCAUGGUGAGGAGUCACAGGGUCACCACCUUUGACAACGGGACAUACUGCUGCCGCUUCAAGGAUGGUGUAAAGUUCGGCGAGGACACUGUGCAGGUGCAGGUGGCAGGGCUGGGCACGGAGCGCAGAAUCCAGGUGACAGACCAGCAGGAUGGAGUCAGGGCGGAGUGCACAUCAGCAGGCUGUUUCCCCAAGUCCUGGGUGGAACGGAGAGACUUCAGGGGCCAGGCUAGGCCUGCUGUGACCAAUCUAUCAGCCUCAGCCACCACCAGGCUCUGGGCUGUGGCAUCCAGCUUGACACUCUGGGACAGGGCUGUGGAGGGUCUCUCCUGCUCCAUCUCCAGCCCCCUCCUCCCUGAAAGGAGGAAGGUGGCUGAGAGCCACCUGCCUGCUACCUUUUCCAGAAGCUCCCAGUUCACGGCAUGGAAAGCGGCUCUGCCUCUGAUCCUUGUUGCCAUGGGACUCGUAAUAGCUGGAGGCAUCUGCAUCUUCUGGAAACGUCAAAGGGAAAAGAACAAAGCAUCACUGGAAGAAGAGAGGGAGUGA